This 444-nucleotide long non-coding RNA is filed under the name Homo sapiens (human). RNAcentral describes it as "HSALNT0295265". Lineage: Eukaryota; Metazoa; Chordata; Mammalia; Primates; Hominidae. The record is from RNAcentral.
UUCCAUUUCAUUUUCAUUAUUUCAUUUCAUCAUUUCAUUUCACUAUUUCAUUUCAUUUCAUCUAAUUUCAUUUAAUUCAUUAUGUCAUUUCAUAUAAUCUCAUUUCAUUUCAUCUCAUAUUUUUGAUAUCAUUUUUCAUCUCAUUUCAUCUCAAUUCAUCUCAUCAUUUCAUCUCCUCAUCUCAUCAUUUCCUCCUUUCAUUACAACAUUUCAUCUCAUCUCAUAUUUUUGAUAUCAUUUUUCAUCUCAUUUCAUCUCAAUUCAUCUCAUCAUUUCAUCUCCUCAUCUCAUCAUUUCCUCCUUUCAUUACAACAUUUCAUCUCAUUUCUUCUCAUCUCAUUUCAAUUUCAUUAUUUCAUCUCAUUUCAUUAUUUCACCUAAUUUCAUUAUUUCAUCUCAUCUCAUCUCAGUUCAUCUGAUCUCAUUUCAUCUCAGCAUUUCAUC